RNAcentral lists this ribosomal RNA (484 nucleotides) under uncultured bacterium. RNAcentral describes it as "partial 16S ribosomal RNA". It matches the Rfam family "Bacterial small subunit ribosomal RNA", at positions 29 to 507 of the family's 1533-position model. The record is from RNAcentral.
AUUGAACGCUGGCGGCAUGCUUUACACAUGCAAGUCGAACGGCAGCGCGGGCUUCGGCCUGGCGGCGAGUGGCGAACGGGUGAGUAAUACAUCGGAACGUGCCCAGGAGUGGGGGAUAGCCCGGCGAAAGCCGGAUUAAUACCGCAUACGACCUGAGGGCGAAAGCGGGGGAUCGUCGGAACUUGUGCUAUUGGAGCGGCCGAUGGCCGAUUAGCUAGUUGGUGGGGUAAAGGCCUAACAAGGCGACGAUCUGUAGCUGGUCUGAGAGGACGACCAGCCACACUGGAACUGAGACACGGCCCAGACUCCUACGGGAGGCAGCAGUGGGGAAUUUUGGACAAUGGGCGAAAGCCUGAUCCAGCAAUGCCGCGUGUGUGAUGAAGGCCUUCGGGUUGUAAAGCACUUUUGGCGGGAACGAAAAGGACUGUGCCAAUACCACGGUUCGAUGACGGUACCCGCAGAAUAAGCACCGGCUAACUACGUG